GAUGAACGCUGGCGGCGUGCCUAAUACAUGCAAGUCGAGCGAACGGACGAGAAGCUUGCUUCUCUGAUGUUAGCGGCGGACGGGUGAGUAACACGUGGAUAACCUACCUAUAAGACUGGGAUAACUUCGGGAAACCGUAGCUAAUACCGGAUAAUAUUUUGAACCGCAUGGUUCAAAAGUGAAAGACGGUCUUGCUGUCACUUAUAGAUGGAUCCGCGCUGCAUUAGCUAGUUGGUAAGGUAACGGCUUACCAAGGCAACGAUGCAUAGCCGACCUGAGAGGGUGAUCGGCCACACUGGAACUGAGACACGGUCCAGACUCCUACGGGAGGCAGCAGUAGGGAAUCUUCCGCAAAGGGCGAAAGCCUGACGGAGCAACGCCGCGUGAGUGAUGAAGGUCUUCGGAUCGUAAAACUCUAUUAUUAGGGAAGAACAUAUGUGUAAGUAACUGUGCACAUCUUGACGGUACCUAAUCAGAAAGCCACGGCUAACUACGUG
This 497-nucleotide ribosomal RNA is filed under the name uncultured bacterium. RNAcentral's name for it is "partial 16S ribosomal RNA". It matches the Rfam family "Bacterial small subunit ribosomal RNA", at positions 28 to 507 of the family's 1533-position model. The record is from RNAcentral.